RNAcentral lists this small RNA (121 nucleotides) under Marmota monax (woodchuck). The record is from RNAcentral. Lineage: Eukaryota; Metazoa; Chordata; Mammalia; Rodentia; Sciuridae.
GCUGGGCAUGGUGACACAUGCCUAUAAUCCCAGUGGCUCAGGAGGCUGAGGCAGGAAGAUUAUGAGUUCAAAGCCAGCCUCAGCAAAAACUGGGCACUUAGCAAUUCAGUUCCUGUCUCUA